This 793-nucleotide small RNA is filed under the name Pan troglodytes (chimpanzee). Its description in RNAcentral is "processed transcript". Lineage: Eukaryota; Metazoa; Chordata; Mammalia; Primates; Hominidae. The record is from RNAcentral.
CAGGGUUUCACUCUGUUGGCCAGGCUGGUCCCAAACUACUGACCUCGUGAUCCACCCGCCUUGGCCUCCCAAACUGCUGGGAUUACAGGUGUGAGCCACGGCGCCCGAUCACUGCAUCUUUGGCCAAGUGUAAAUGGCCAGAAAACUUUUUACCACAUUGCAACAAAAGAGCACAAUGAAGAGUCAAAGAUCCCAGCUGGGCGCAGUGGCUUCAACGUAUAUUCAGUAAAUACAGUAUUCUUAGGAGUUUUUUAAUCUUGUAUUAUUUCUCCCUUUACCUUUUACAGGGAUUUUCAUUUAUUAAAACUCAGUGAUCUAGGCUUCUACUAGCAUAAAGCCCUAUGAAGACAGACUGCCUGCAUCAGCUUUGUAUUCCCACUGUAGGGAUAAUACAUAUAUUCAGUAAAUGUUUAUCAAAUGACUAAGCUUUAAAAUGAUCAAAUAUGCCAAGAUUCAGAUUGUUUUAAUUACUGAUAAUAGAAAAUUGUUCUUUUUCUUCACUCCCCCUUUUAAUCAUUUUUCUUUCCAUCUACUCUCAAAGAUCAUUUGAAACACAGUUGUCAAGAGUGGAAGCAGAAUUGUUAAGAAGAGAAGCUCCUCCCUCGUAUGGACAAUUGAUUGCUCAGGGUUUAAUUCCACCAGUUGAAGAUUUUCCUGUUUGUUCACCUAAUCAGGCUUCUGUUUUGGAAAAUCUGAGGCUAGCGGUACGAUCUCAGCUUGGAUUUACUUCAGUCAGGCUUCCUAUGGCAGGCAGAUCAAGCAACAUUUGGAACCGUAUUUUUAAUUUUGCAAG